UCAGGAUGAACGCUGGCGGCGUAGCUUAACACAUGCAAGUCGAACGAAGCAACUAUCUUGCUGCAAGAAGUUGACUUAGUGGCGGACGGGUGAGUAACGCGUGGGUAACCUGCCUCAUACAGGGGGAUAACAGUUGGAAACGACUGCUAAGACCGCAUAACCCGCUAGUGUCGCAUGACACGGACGGAAAAUAUUUAUAGGUAUGAGAUGGGCCCGCGUCUGAUUAGCUAGUUGGUAAGGUAACGGCUUACCAAGGCGACGAUCAGUAGCCGACUUGAGAGAGUGAUCGGCCACAUUGGGACUGAGACACGGCCCAAACUCCUACGGGAGGCAGCAGUGGGGAAUAUUGGACAAUGGGGGAAACCCUGAUCCAGCGAACCGCCGCGUGAGUGAAGAAGUAUUUCGGUAUGUAAAGCUCUAUCAGCAGGGAAGAUAAUGACAGUACCUGACUAAGAAGCCCCGGCUAACUACGUGCCAGCAGCGGC
This 485-nucleotide ribosomal RNA is filed under the name uncultured bacterium. RNAcentral's name for it is "bacterial SSU rRNA". It matches the Rfam family "Bacterial small subunit ribosomal RNA", at positions 24 to 518 of the family's 1533-position model. The record is from RNAcentral.